AGUGAACGCUGGCGGUAGGCCUAACACAUGCAAGUCGAACGGCAGCACAGUAAGAGCUUGCUCUUACGGGUGGCGAGUGGCGGACGGGUGAGGAAUACAUCGGAAUCUACUUUUUCGUGGGGGAUAGCGUAGGGAAACUUACGCUAAUACCGCAUACGACCUACGGGUGAAAGCAGGGGAUCUUCGGACCUUGCGCGAUUGAAUGAGCCGAUGUCGGAUUAGCUAGUUGGCGGGGUAAAGGCCCACCAAGGCGACGAUCCGUAGCUGGUCUGAGAGGAUGACCGGCCACACUGGAACUGAAACGCGGUCCAGACCCUGACGGGAGGCGGAAGGGGGGAUUUUUGGAAAAGGGGGGCAAGCUUGAACCAGCCAUACCGGGGGGGGAAAGAAGGCUUUCGGGUUGUAAAGCCUUUUUGUGGGGAAAGAAAAGCAGCAGGUUAAUACCCCGCUGUUCUGAGGGUACCCAAAGAAUAAGCACCGGCUAACUUCGU
Molecule: ribosomal RNA, 491 nt
Filed under: uncultured bacterium
Lineage: Bacteria
Description: partial 16S ribosomal RNA
Rfam family: Bacterial small subunit ribosomal RNA
Source: RNAcentral